RNAcentral lists this ribosomal RNA (446 nucleotides) under uncultured bacterium. Its description in RNAcentral is "partial 16S ribosomal RNA". It matches the Rfam family "Bacterial small subunit ribosomal RNA", at positions 338 to 795 of the family's 1533-position model. The record is from RNAcentral.
CCUACGGGUGGCAGCAGUCGAGAAUCAUUCACAAUGGGGGAAACCCUGAUGGUGCGACGCCGCGUGGGGGAAUGAAGGUCUUCGGAUUGUAAACCCCUGUCAUGUGGGAGCAAAUUAAAAAGAUAGUACCACAAGAGGAAGAGACGGCUAACUCUGUGACAGCAGCCGCGGUAAUACAGAGGUCUCAAGCGUUGUUCGGAACCACUGGGCGUAAAGCGUGCGUAGGCUGUUUCGUAAGUCGUGUGUGAAAGGGGCGGGCUCAACCCGCGGACGGCACAUGAUACUGGGAGACUAGAGUAAUGGAGGGGGAACCGGAAUUCUCGGUGUAGCAGUGAAAUGCGUAGAUAUCGAGAGGAACACUCGUGGCGAAGGCGGGUUCCUGGACAUUAACUGACGCUGAGGCACGAAGGCCAGGGGAGCGAAAGGGAUUAGAUACCCUUGUAGUC